Long non-coding RNA from Macadamia integrifolia, 687 nucleotides. RefSeq lists it as uncharacterized. The transcript is spliced from 2 exons. The record is from RefSeq and is a predicted model, not a curated record. Lineage: Eukaryota; Viridiplantae; Streptophyta; Magnoliopsida; Proteales; Proteaceae.
GCUUAAAUCAGAAAGAUCGACUAGCGGAUGCAGCGUAUCGGAUCAACUCAUCAAAAACUUUCGUAUGUGCAUUACUUUGAACUAAACUAAAAGAUCUGAGAUCUAAAACCCAGAAUUAAAAACGAAUUCGUCUUACAUAGGAAUUUAUAAUUGAAAAAGGUCAAUGACGAAGAAAACGGCAAAGCAAGUGUGAGAAAGACAGAGAAAGAGAAAGGAGGGGGAGGCGAGGGUGAUGAAGAUGGCGAUGCAAGCAAGAAGCUGUGAGAGGGCUUCGUUGGAUUCACGCCGUCAAAGCUUCACUUCUCUAUGGUUCUAAUCGAGCAGAGUUUCAGCCCAAUGGAGCUUGCUAGGGUUUCAACCUUAAGAAGAAUCAUCUCUACCUCCAUAGAGGAAGAACCGAUAGAUGCAGACCAAGUGGUUCGGUCCGUAUAAAAGGACCGUGAAUCUUUUCAGGCACGGAACGCCGGCUUAUCUUGUUUGAGACUCCAGUGGAGGGAAAGCAAACAGGUUGCCACCAUCGUUCAUGGCGUCGAAUCCAACGGAUUGGCAUCGUAAAUAUUUCGCACGGUUGAUAGAAUUUUUUCAUUUGAAGAGAGAGGAGUGAAAUAUCUAUUAAAAACGUGGGAAAGCUUGAUAUUUAACUAUAUUUAAAGGGAGAGGAGUAAUAAUUUUUCUUUUUCUUUUUAA